AUGAUACUGGUCUCAUUUUAACUAUAGUGCUAUUUGGCACUAGUCUAAACUUCCAUAUAAAUCACUGUUUUGGAACAACAAAAUGGGGAGGGAGAAAAAUCACGGCCUGUUAGAUGAGUACCAAAACCACCAAACAGUAAUGAGAUGUUCUCAUCCUUGAUUCUCCCAGCCUCAAACAACACAGGUUACUUUUUUUUCCCCUUGCUCAGAAAGCACCUGUAAUUUAACAAACAGACUGCCUGCAGGUAUAGUGCAAUUACAAAUGCUCUAAUCAUUGUACGUACAUCUCUCUUGAUAUUGCAGCAUCCAUACUGGCUUUGUAAUCAUUAAUUUUUUGGCAGAUUGAAUGUGCUGUAUCGAUAUGUAUCUAUGUAAUUGUAUGUCUAUAGCUAAUUCACAUUUUGAAUAAUGUUAUUUUAUUUACUUUUUUAAGAGAGGAGAAUGUAAAUUUGUCAGUUUAUUUCUGACUAGGGAUAUUUUCUUUCUAUUUAGAAAAGAAGAAAAAAAAACCUUACUGUCAUACAGAACGGUACUAGCGUCAUGCUGUAUAAAAUCAUUUGCACAUUCCUGAGUAGAGGUAUACUGAUUAUAAGAUCCAAAGCAGUGGGAAGGGAGGCUGCAGGAACAGCAGAGAACAAUUCGGGACAAGAAGAAAACAGCAGGGUGCACCAGACGUAGUAAUCCCCUAAAACCAAAGGGAAAGCCGCCCGCUCCCACGCAGUAAAACUAGGAGUAUCCAGGAAUGAACAAACCCGAAAAGAACGUGAGCUGUUUUCCAAAACGGAGACCUCCUCAGAGGAUGAGGCCGGGCAUUUCCUGGGACAGCCUGUGUUAAGACCACGUGCCCCUUGCCCUAACAACUCACUGUAGUACUCUUCAUAGACACAUCUUGCAGCAUUUCUCUUAAUACUAUGCUUGUUUUUCUUUCUAAGCCACCACAAGCCAUAGUGAUAGGUUUGCCCUUUGGUACAAAAGGUGCAUUAAAACUGGUGGAAAAGGCUUACUGCAUUCUGGAUAACCUGUGUGCAUACUUUAUGAAAUCUCUUGUGUGGGGAAAAAAAUGCUUUUUACAAUUUGACCUAAUUAUAUGCAUUGUAAAAUAAACACCAUUAUUUCAAACAAAACACCUAUCUUUUUACAAUAUGUUUUAUUUCUGUUUGAAUUCUGUUGUUACAAUGUUAGUGUUUUAAAAUGUGAUGGAAAAUAUAAUGCUUCUAAGGAGGAAAGCCAGUGGAAUGAAUGUUUAAAAGAUCUUCAUGUGUUUACGGUCUGCAGAAGGAUUUUUGUGAUGAGAGGGGAUUUUUGAAAAAUCUAGAGAAGUAGCAUAUGGAAAAUUAUAAUGUGUUUGUGUGUAUAUGUGUGUGUGUGUUUUACAAAGAUUUCUGCUCUGUUUUUAGCCAGAAACUCUAAAAACUAAAAUAAUAACAAAGAAAAAUAAAUAAAAGAGAGACAGA
Molecule: long non-coding RNA, 1454 nt
Filed under: Homo sapiens (human)
Lineage: Eukaryota; Metazoa; Chordata; Mammalia; Primates; Hominidae
Description: HSALNT0039917
Source: RNAcentral